RNAcentral lists this long non-coding RNA (850 nucleotides) under Ursus maritimus (polar bear). Its description in RNAcentral is "lncRNA (ENSUMAG00000018126.1)". The record is from RNAcentral. Lineage: Eukaryota; Metazoa; Chordata; Mammalia; Carnivora; Ursidae.
UUUUUUCUCUGUUUCCUUUAGUGUUGGUUUGGAUUCCUAAGGAAUUUCCAGGGAAAGAAAAAUGGAGAAACAAGACACUUUCAGAUCGUGUCAUAUCUUGUACAUUAAAAUAAGAAGAAUGUGAACAAGAAAGAUAAGUGAUGGUGCAUAAAUGAGCUAAAGGUGACUCUAGUCUCCAAAACUGGAUGAAGUCUGGAGAGAACCCGCUCAUGUUUCCGAGUCCCAAGUGUGGGGGCAGGGCAACUGAAGAGCUCAGAGAUACAAGCAUGAUGGAACUGUGCAACCCUGGGAAGCACCCUUCCUCUCUGCAGUCCACUCUCAGUCCAUCCUGCUCACCCCAGUGCCCUUAUCUUCAGGGGACCUGCCCUCACAACCAGAGUGAUAUGGCCUGUACUUGUAACUUACUGUGAUUUCUAGUACGUGUGCAGCCAGAGAUCGUGUGGAUUUCUCACUCCUUUUUUCCACUUUAAAAUCUGCUAAUAUGUUAUGCUAAAUGCUACAGGGUAUGGAUACUUCCAGGUAAGUAUACUUGCAGACUUUUUUUUUCAAAAGAAACGCAAAAUCUUUCGAGGAGAAAUUUCACCAAAAACUUUUUUUUAAUCAAAAUGGAAAUUAAUUAACUUGUUUUUAUAAAAGCCACAUGUGCUCAUUUCAAGUGCUUUAGAGAACAGAGAAAAUCAUAUAAACUUAAACAGGGAUGUCUGGGUGGCUCAGGAGGUUAAGCAUCUGGCUUCGGCUCAGGUUAUGAUCCCAGGGUCCUAGGAUCAAGUCCUGCAUCCAGCUCCUUGCUUAGCAGGGAGCCUGCUCCCCCCUCUGCCUUCUACCCCCCCCCCCCAACAUGUGCUCUCUC